This 315-nucleotide unclassified non-coding RNA is filed under the name plant metagenome. Its description in RNAcentral is "partial contains 5.8S ribosomal RNA, internal transcribed spacer 2, and large subunit ribosomal RNA". The stretch from base 1 to 105 matches the Rfam family "5.8S ribosomal RNA", at positions 50 to 154 of the family's 154-position model. The record is from RNAcentral.
GGAAUGCGAUAAGUAAUGUGAAUUGCAGAAUUCAGUGAAUCAUCGAGUCUUUGAACGCACAUUGCGCCCCCUGGCAUUCCGGGGGGCAUGCCUGUCCGAGCGUCAUUGCUGCCCUUCAAGCCCGGCUUGUGUGUUGGGUCGUCGUCCCCUCCGGGGGACGGGCCCGAAAGGCAGCGGCGGCACCGCGUCCGGUCCUCGAGCGUAUGGGGCUUUGUCACCCGCUCGAUAAGGACCGGCCGGGCGCCAGCCGGCGUCUCCAACCUUUUUUUCUCAGGUUGACCUCGGAUCAGGUAGGGAUACCCGCUGAACUUAAGC